RNAcentral lists this small RNA (730 nucleotides) under Pan troglodytes (chimpanzee). RNAcentral describes it as "processed transcript". The record is from RNAcentral. Lineage: Eukaryota; Metazoa; Chordata; Mammalia; Primates; Hominidae.
GAGAAGGGGAGCUGCGCCGGGCGCGAGAGAUUCGGUUAACCGCAGCCCAAGACCUUCUGGGGUAAUCCUGGGUGAAGCCUUUUCCCAGCAGCCCAGCUCCGCCGCAUCGCUUCGUUUCUCUCCUGCCUGCGGGGGCUGGAGCCAAGGCACAACUCUUAGGUGGCAGGCAGAGUUGGGCCUAAAUGAGCACCAUCAAAAUGAAGUUAUUAAUUAUAUGCGUUUUGCUCGUUCAAAGAGAGGCUUGAGACUCAAAACUGUAGAUUCCUGCUUCCAAGACCUCAAGGAGAGCAGGCUGGUGGAGGAGACCUUCACCAUAGAUGAAGUCUCUGAAGUCCUCAAUGGAUUACAAGCUGUGGUUCAUAGUGAGGUGGAAUCUGAGCUCAUCAACACUGCCUAUACCAAUGUGUUACUUCUGCGACAGCUGUUUGCACAAGCUGAGAAGUGGUAUCUUAAGCUACAGACAGACAUCUCUGAACUUGAAAACCGAGAAUUAUUAGAACAAGUUGCAGAAUUUGAAAAAGCAGAGAUUACAUCUUCAAACAAAAAGCCCAUCUUAGAUGUCACAAAGCCAAAACUUGCUCCACUUAAUGAAGGUGGAACAGCAGAACUCCUAAACAAGGAAAUUUUAAGACUUCAAGAAGAGAAUGAGAAAUUGAAGUCAAGGUUGAAGACCAUUGAAAUACAGGCUACAAAUGCACUGGAUGAAAAGUCAAAACUAGAAAAAGCACUG